Molecule: long non-coding RNA, 652 nt
Filed under: Numida meleagris (helmeted guineafowl)
Lineage: Eukaryota; Metazoa; Chordata; Aves; Galliformes; Numididae
Description: lncRNA (ENSNMEG00000018830.1)
Source: RNAcentral
AAUCCUACUAGCCCACCAUGAAGCCUUAUGGCAGCGUGAAGGAGCUUUUUUUGCUGCUAUUUUACAAGAACAGAAGACAUGCCUCUGAGAUGUUACAGUAGUACUAACAAUGAACGUUCAACCUCAGGUCCAAAUUCCCUACUGAUGCAAGAGCGGCUCUGCUGAAAUCAUCAGAACUCCACCCCCUUAUCUCACCAGUGACAGAGCUUGCCCGAUUCUGCACCUGCCCAAUGGGAACGCUAAUUGCAAGGUCAGCACAUCCAGAUCCGUUCUGCAGCCUACCGUGUUUAAAAUCUGGACAGCCCAUGCUGGGGUGCAUUCCUGGCUGAAGACCAAAUGCGAGAGGCAGUGAAACCUUGUGAAACAGAAGUCCUCCCUCAUGGAUCCGCAUGAGCCCGAGCACCUCGGUUUUCUGCUCGCGUUGCGCGCCGCUGAGCCACCUCUGCUCUCACCUUCCCCGCGGGCCACAUCUCCCAGUCGCUCCUGUGGAUUACGGGAGUGCCGCGGCCCGGAAGCGGAAGGAAAGGCAGCGUUGUCACACGGGGCAGGAUGGCGGAGCGCCGCGCCGCGCGGGAUGCAGGGAGCGGUAGUCCCCGGGCAACGCGAGUGUCCGUCGGCCAUGUUGUGCGGCGGCAGGGGAUGUGCUCUUUGA